GAUGAAGAAUGCAGCGAAAUGCGAUAAGUAGUGUGAAUUGCAGAAUUCAGUGAAUCAUCGAAUCUUUGAACGCACAUUGCGCCCCUUGGUAUCCCGAGGGGCAUGCCUGUUCGAGCGUCAUUUCACCACUCAAGCCUGGCUUGGUGUUGGGCGACGUCCUCUUUGGGGACGCGCCUCGAAACGCUCGGCGGCGUGGCACCGGCUUUAAGCGUAGCAGAAUCUUUCGCUUUGGAAGUCGGGGCCCCGUCUGCCGGAAGACCUGCUCGCAAGGUUGACCUCGGAUCAGGCAGGGAUACCCGCUGAACUUAAGCAUAUCAAUAAGCGGAGGA
Molecule: unclassified non-coding RNA, 329 nt
Filed under: soil metagenome
Description: partial contains 5.8S ribosomal RNA, internal transcribed spacer 2, and large subunit ribosomal RNA
Rfam family: 5.8S ribosomal RNA (bases 1-120)
Source: RNAcentral